Molecule: ribosomal RNA, 532 nt
Filed under: uncultured bacterium
Lineage: Bacteria
Description: bacterial SSU rRNA
Rfam family: Bacterial small subunit ribosomal RNA
Source: RNAcentral
GGCCUUGACAUACUAAGAACUUCCAGAGAUGGAUUGGUGCCUUCGGGAACUUAGAUACAGGUGCUGCAUGGCUGUCGUCAGCUCGUGUCGUGAGAUGUUGGGUUAAGUCCCGNAACGAGCGCAACCCUUUUCCUUAUUUGCCAGCGGGUCAUGCCGGGAACUUUAAGGAUACUGCCAGUGACAAACUGGAGGAAGGCGGGGACGACGUCAAGUCAUCAUGGCCCUUACGGCCAGGGCUACACACGUGCUACAAUGGUCGGUACAAAGGGUUGCUACCUCGCGAGAGGAUGCUAAUCUCAAAAAGCCGAUCGUAGUCCGGAUCGCAGUCUGCAACUCGACUGCGUGAAGUCGGAAUCGCUAGUAAUCGCGGAUCAGAAUGCCGCGGUGAAUACGUUCCCGGGCCUUGUACACACCGCCCGUCACACCAUGGGAGUUUGUUGCACCAGAAGUAGGUAGUCUAACCGCAAGGAGGACGCUUACCACGGUGUGGCCGAUGACUGGGGUGAAGUCGUAACAAGGUAAGCGUAGAUGA